GAUGAACGCUGGCGGCGUGCUUAACACAUGCAAGUCGAACGAAUAACCCACCUUCGGGUGGUUAUAGAGUGGCGAACGGGUGAGUAACACGUGACCAACCUACCUUACACUUUGGGAUAACUCAGAGAAAUUUGAGCUAAUACCAAAUACUCCGGAACCUUCGCAUGUUGGUUCCGGGAAAGUUCCGGCGGUGUAAGAUGGGGUCGCGGCCUAUUAGAUAGUUGGUGGGGUAACGGCCUACCAAGUCGACGAUAGGUAGCCGGGUUGAGAGACUGAUCGGCCACAUUGGGACUGAGAUACGGCCCAGACUCCUACGGGAGGCAGCAGUGGGGAAUUUUGCGCAAUGGGCGAAAGCCUGACGCAGCAACGCCGCGUGCGGGAUGACGGCCUUCGGGUUGUAAACCGCUUUCAGCAGGGAAGAUAAUGACGGUACCUGCAGAAGAAGCUCCGGCUAACUACGUGCCAGCCGCCGCCGUAACAC
This 481-nucleotide ribosomal RNA is filed under the name uncultured bacterium. RNAcentral describes it as "bacterial SSU rRNA". It matches the Rfam family "Bacterial small subunit ribosomal RNA", at positions 28 to 526 of the family's 1533-position model. The record is from RNAcentral.